UCCCCAGUAGCUCAGUUGGCAGAGCAAGUGGCUGUUAACCACUGGGUCCGGUUCGAGUCCGUGCUGGGGAGCCA
Molecule: transfer RNA, 74 nt
Filed under: Deltaproteobacteria bacterium
Lineage: Bacteria; Pseudomonadati; Myxococcota; Myxococcia
Description: tRNA-Asn
Rfam family: tRNA
About the family: Transfer RNA (tRNA) molecules are approximately 80 nucleotides in length. Their secondary structure includes four short double-helical elements and three loops (D, anti-codon, and T loops). Further hydrogen bonds mediate the characteristic L-shaped molecular structure. tRNAs have two regions of fundamental functional importance: the anti-codon, which is responsible for specific mRNA codon recognition, and the 3' end, to which the tRNAs corresponding amino acid is attached (by aminoacyl-tRNA synthetases). tRNAs cope with the degeneracy of the genetic code in two manners: having more than one tRNA (with a specific anti-codon) for a particular amino acid; and 'wobble' base-pairing, i.e. permitting non-standard base-pairing at the 3rd anti-codon position.
Source: RNAcentral